Molecule: ribosomal RNA, 253 nt
Filed under: uncultured bacterium
Lineage: Bacteria
Description: partial 16S ribosomal RNA
Rfam family: Bacterial small subunit ribosomal RNA
Source: RNAcentral
UACAGAGGGGGCAAGCGUUAUUCGGAAUUAUUGGGCGUAAAGGGCGCGUAGGCGGCUUUUCAAGUGACGGGUGAAAUCCCUCGGCUUAACCGAGGAACUGCCUGUCAGACUGGAAGGCUUGAGACCGGGAGAGGUGAGUGGAAUUCCCAGUGUAGCGGUGAAAUGCGUAGAUAUUGGGAGGAACACCAGUGGCGAAGGCGGCUCACUGGACCGGAACUGACGCUGAGGCGCGAAAGCGUGGGGAGCAAACCGG